Molecule: long non-coding RNA, 838 nt
Organism: Homo sapiens (human)
Lineage: Eukaryota; Metazoa; Chordata; Mammalia; Primates; Hominidae
Gene: NARF-AS1
Product: NARF antisense RNA 1
Source: Ensembl
CAGACAUGAUAAUCCCAUUUAACAAUCAAAGUUUCACCUAUAAAGACGCCCGUGUGUGCUCAGGAAACACCCACAGAGACACAGAAGCAGCCACAGAGAGAAAUGCCCCAGGGCCGGGCGCAGUAGCUCACGCCUGUAAUCCCAACACUUUGGGACUGUGAGGCAGGCGGAUCACUUGAGGGCAGGAUUUCAAGACCAGCCUAGGCAACACGGUGAGACUCUGUCUCUAGAAAAAUAAAAAAAUCAUCCAGGCGUGGUGGUGCACACCUGUAGUCCUAGCUACUUGGGAGACUGAGAUGGGAGGAUCACUUGAGCCCAAGAGGUUGAAGCUCUCGUGAGCCAUGAUUGAGCUGCCGCACUCCAGCGUGGGCAACAAAGUAAGAUCCUGCUUAAAAAACUGUUGGCUGGGUGGAGUGGCUCACACCUCUAAUCCCAGCACACUUUGGGAGGCCGAGGCGGGUGGAUCACCUGAGGUCGGGAGUUCUAUUCCAGCCUGGCCAACAUGGUGAAACCCUGUCUCUACUGAAAAUAUAAAAAUUAGCUGGGCGUGGUGGCAGGCGCCUCUAAUCCCAGCUACUUGGGAGGCUGAGGCAGGAGAAUGGCUUGAACCUGGGAGGUGGGGGUUGCAGUGAGCUGAGAUCUCGCUAUUGCACUCUAGCCUGAGCAACAAGAGCGAAACUCCGUCUCAAAAACGCCAGGUGUGGUGGCUCAUGCCUGUAAUCCCAGCACUUUGGGAGUCCAAGGAAGGCAGAUCAUCGAGGUCAGGAGAUCAAGGCCAGCCUGACCAACAAAGUGAAACCGUGUCUCUAUUACAAAUACAAAAAUUAGCCAGGCGUGG